AUUGAACGCUGGCGGCAUGCCUUACACAUGCAAGUCGAACGGCAGCACGGGAGCUUGCUCCUGGUGGCGAGUGGCGAACGGGUGAGUAAUAUAUCGGAACGUACCCUAGAGUGGGGGAUAACGCAGCGAAAGUUGCGCUAAUACCGCAUACGAUCUACGGAUGAAAGCGGGGGGAUCGCAAGACCUCGCGCGAUUGGAGCGGCCGAUAUCAGAUUAGGUAGUUGGUGAGGUAAAGGCUCACCAAGCCGACGAUCUGUAGCUGGUCUGAGAGGACGACCAGCCACACUGGGACUGAGACACGGCCCAGACUCCUACGGGAGGCAGCAGUGGGGAAUUUUGGACAAUGGGCGCAAGCCUGAUCCAGCAAUGCCGCGUGCAGGAUGAAGGCCUUCGGGUUGUAAACUGCUUUUGUACGGAACGAAACGGUGAGCUCUAAUACAGUUUGCUAAUGACGGUACCGUAAGAAUAAGCACCGGCUAACUACGUG
RNAcentral lists this ribosomal RNA (487 nucleotides) under uncultured bacterium. Its description in RNAcentral is "bacterial SSU rRNA". It matches the Rfam family "Bacterial small subunit ribosomal RNA", at positions 30 to 507 of the family's 1533-position model. The record is from RNAcentral.